GGCCUGAUAGCACAACGGUUAGUGCGUCUGCUAUAAGUGGUGUAGUCUGAAACUUUCGGUAGAAGAUCCCCGUUCAACUCGGGGUCAGGUCA
Mycena latifolia is the source of this 92-nucleotide non-coding RNA. Lineage: Eukaryota; Fungi; Basidiomycota; Agaricomycetes; Agaricales; Mycenaceae. The record is from the annotation of a GenBank genome assembly.